AGUACAUGAGGUCGAUAGAUAGAUGAUUUAUUUCUUAAAACUGGCAGCCAUAAUGCUGAAAUACGUUUAAGAUUACAUAUAAUUCAUAUAUAAAUAAAUUAACUAAAUUACAUCUUCAAAGAGUUAUAAGUUAUGAAACUAUUUCUAAAACGUUUGGUAUUAAAGUUAGUAUUAAAU
Molecule: long non-coding RNA, 177 nt
Organism: Xenia sp. Carnegie-2017
Lineage: Eukaryota; Metazoa; Cnidaria; Anthozoa; Malacalcyonacea; Xeniidae
Exons: 3
Source: RefSeq, a predicted model, not a curated record